Molecule: non-coding RNA, 64 nt
Organism: Dipodomys ordii (Ord's kangaroo rat)
Lineage: Eukaryota; Metazoa; Chordata; Mammalia; Rodentia; Heteromyidae
Source: Rfam
GGUGGCUCAGUGAUAGAGUGCUUGCCUUGCAUGCAUGAGGCCCUAGGUUUGAUUCUCAGCACCA